GGCCCUUCGGGGUACUCGAGCGGCGAACGGGUGAGUAACACGUGAGCAACCUGCCCCUGGCUCUGGGAUAGCCUCCGGAAACGGGGAUUAAUACCGGACAUUCACUCUUCUGGGCAUCCUAGAGGGUGGAAAGUUUUUUCGGCCAGGGAGGGGCUCGCGGCCUAUCAGCUUGUUGGCGGGGUAACGGCCCACCAAGGCGACGACGGGUAGCCGGCCUGAGAGGGCGACCGGCCACACCGGGACUGAGACACGGCCCAGACUCCUACGGGAGGCAGCAGUGGGGAAUAUUGCGCAAUGGGCGGAAGCCUGACGCAGCGACGCCGCGUGCGGGAUGAAGGCCUUCGGGUUGUAAACCGCUUUCACCAGGAGCGAAUUCAGACGGUACCUGGGGAAGAAGCGCCGGCUAACUACGUGCCAGCAGCCGCGGUAAUACGUAGGGCGCAAGCGUUGUCCGGAAUUAUUGGGCGUAAAGAGCUCGUAGGCGGCCUGUCGCGUCCGCUGUGAAAUCCCGGGGCUUAACCCCGGGCCUGCAGUGGAUACGGGCUGGCUGGAGGCAGGCAGGGGAGAACGGAAUUCCCGGUGUAGCGGUGAAAUGCGCAGAUAUCGGGAGGAACACCGGUGGCGAAGGCGGUUCUCUGGGCCUGUUCUGACGCUGAGGAGCGAAAGCGUGGGGAGCGA
Molecule: ribosomal RNA, 678 nt
Filed under: uncultured Actinomycetes bacterium
Lineage: Bacteria; Bacillati; Actinomycetota; Actinomycetes
Description: bacterial SSU rRNA
Rfam family: Bacterial small subunit ribosomal RNA
Source: RNAcentral